AUUUACUCAAAAUUAGGUAUGCAAAUUAUGCGUUAGUUACCUACAUUAACAAAUUAUACACUGAUAUUGAAGCAAAUUAGAUUUCAGAGGUAGAGGGAUUUUAGUCGGUAGGUCCGAGGACUUCUUCCUCGGAAAUCCGACACUUACCCAGUCGUACGGACGGCUGGGUGUUUUUUGAAUAUUUCCUCUCUUCCAC
Agrilus planipennis (emerald ash borer) is the source of this 196-nucleotide non-coding RNA. NCBI's taxonomy places the organism in Eukaryota, Metazoa, Arthropoda, Insecta, Coleoptera, Buprestidae. The record is from Rfam.